AGACCCGAAACCCGGUGAUCUAGCCAUGGGCAGGUUGAAGGUUGGGUAACACUAACUGGAGGACCGAACCGACUAAUGUUGAAAAAUUAGCGGAUGACCUGUGGCUGGGGGUGAAAGGCCAAUCAAACCGGGAGAUAGCUGGUUCUCCCCGAAAGCUAUUUAGGUAGCGCCUCGUGAAUUCAUCUCCGGGGGUAGAGCACUGUUUCGGCUAGGGGGCCAUCCCGGCUUACCAACCCGAUGCAAACUGCGAAUACCGGAGAAUGUUAUCACGGGAGACACACGGCGGGUGCUAACGUCCGUCGUGAAGAGGGAAACAACCCAGACCGCCAGCUAAGGUCCCAAAGUCAUGGUUAAGUGGGAAACGAUGUGGGAAGGCCCAGACAGCCAGGAUGUUGGCUUAGAAGCAGCCAUCAUUUAAAGAAAGCGUAAUAGCUCACUGGUCGAGUCGGCCUGCGCGGAAGAUGUAACGGGGCUAAACCAUGCACCGAAGCUGCGGCAGCGACGCUGAUGCGUUGUUGGGUAGGGGAGCGUUCUGUAAGCCUGUGAAGGUGGCCUGUGAGGGUUGCUGGAGGUAUCAGAAGUGCGAAUGCUGACAUAAGUAACGAUAAAGCGGGUGAAAAGCCCGCUCGCCGGAAGACCAAGGGUUCCUGUCCAACGUUAAUCGGGGCAGGGUGAGUCGACCCCUAAGGCGAGGCCGAAAGGCGUAGUCGAUGGGAAACGGGUUAAUAUUCCCGUACUUGGUGUUACUGCGAAGGGGGGACGGAGAAGGCUAUGUUGGCCGGGCGACGGUUGUCCCGGUUUAAGCGUGUAGGUGUGUGUUCCAGGUAAAUCCGGUUCACUUUAACACUGAGGCGUGAUGACGAGGCACUACGGUGCUGAAGCAACAAAUGCCCUGCUUCCAGGAAAAGCCUCUAAGCAUCAGGUAACAUCAAAUCGUACCCCAAACCGACACAGGUGGUCAGGUAGAGAAUACCAAGGCGCUUGAGAGAACUCGGGUGAAGGAACUAGGCAAAAUGGUGCCGUAACUUCGGGAGAAGGCACGCUGACACGUAGGUGAAGUGAUUUACUCA
This 1070-nucleotide ribosomal RNA is filed under the name Salmonella enterica. Its description in RNAcentral is "bacterial LSU rRNA". It matches the Rfam family "Bacterial large subunit ribosomal RNA", at positions 711 to 1773 of the family's 2925-position model. The record is from RNAcentral. RNAcentral also lists the same sequence under 5 other names. Lineage: Bacteria; Pseudomonadati; Pseudomonadota; Gammaproteobacteria; Enterobacterales; Enterobacteriaceae.